GCCAGAUGUGGUGGCAUACACUUGUAAUCCUAGCAACUCAGGAGGCUGAGGCAGGAGGAUCACAAGUUCAAAGCCAGCCUCAGCAAAUUAGCAAGGCCCCAAGCAACUUAGUGAGACCCUGUCUCAA
RNAcentral lists this small RNA (127 nucleotides) under Marmota monax (woodchuck). The record is from RNAcentral. Lineage: Eukaryota; Metazoa; Chordata; Mammalia; Rodentia; Sciuridae.